Non-coding RNA from Agromyces sp. NDB4Y10, 74 nucleotides. The record is from Rfam. NCBI's taxonomy places the organism in Bacteria, Bacillati, Actinomycetota, Actinomycetes, Micrococcales, Microbacteriaceae.
UGCGGCACUGCGAUUCCCCCCAAUCGUCGUGCUGCCGAGGCGGCACCUGUUCCCCCCAAUGGGUGCCGCCCCCU